GACGAACGCUGGCGGCGUGCCUAAUACAUGCAAGUUGAGCGCUGAAGGUUGGUACUUGUACCAACUGGAUGAGCAGCGAACGGGUGAGUAACGCGUGGGGAAUCUGCCUUUGAGCGGGGGACAACAUUUGGAAACGAAUGCUAAUACCGCAUAAAAACUUUAAACACAAGUUUUAAGUUUGAAAGAUGCAAUUGCAUCACUCAAAGAUGAUCCCGCGUUGUAUUAGCUAGUUGGUGAGGUAAAGGCUCACCAAGGCGAUGAUACAUAGCCGACCUGAGAGGGUGAUCGGCCACAUUGGGACUGAGACACGGCCCAAACUCCUACGGGAGGCAGCAGUAGGGAAUCUUCGGCAAUGGACGAAAGUCUGACCGAGCAACGCCGCGUGAGUGAAGAAGGUUUUCGGAUCGUAAAACUCUGUUGGUAGAGAAGAACGUUGGUGAGAGUCGAAAGCUCAUCAAGUGACGGUAACUACCCAGAAAGGGACGGCUAACUACGUG
Molecule: ribosomal RNA, 497 nt
Filed under: uncultured bacterium
Lineage: Bacteria
Description: partial 16S ribosomal RNA
Rfam family: Bacterial small subunit ribosomal RNA
Source: RNAcentral